This 253-nucleotide ribosomal RNA is filed under the name uncultured bacterium. Its description in RNAcentral is "partial 16S ribosomal RNA". It matches the Rfam family "Bacterial small subunit ribosomal RNA", at positions 524 to 776 of the family's 1533-position model. The record is from RNAcentral.
UACGAGGGGGGCGAGCGUUGUUCGGAAUUAUUGGGCGUAAAGGGCGCGUAGGCGGUCGGAUAAGUCUUGUGUGAAAUCUUCGGGCUCAACUCGAAGUCUGCACAGGAAACUAUCUGGCUUGAGUGUGGGAGAGGUGAGUGGAAUUCCUGGUGUAGCGGUGAAAUGCGUAGAUAUCAGGAGGAACACCCGUGGCGAAAGCGGCUCACUGGACCACAACUGACGCUGAGGCGCGAAAGCUAGGGGAGCAAACAGG